Long non-coding RNA from Strigops habroptila (Kakapo), 4950 nucleotides. The record is from Ensembl. Lineage: Eukaryota; Metazoa; Chordata; Aves; Psittaciformes; Psittacidae.
UUUUUGGAAUGUAACAAUUUAUUGGGAGUUAAUUUUUUUUGUUUUUAAUUUUUAUCUCCCCAUUUCUGGCAUUGAUACAAUAUUCAAGAGCAGCAGAAAGAACAAAAUGUACAAGAAUACAAGAGUAAUUAGCACAACCCCCACCCCCAAACCUGGAGCAAACCAUUUUCUUGUGGGAAGCGCCAGGGGAAGGGGUGAUCCGAUCACCCCUCCAGUGGCUUUGCCUCCCACCCAUCCGCUCUAGACAGAGUUUAGCCAGCUGGGAACUGGAUUAAAAACAACAAACAAAAAACCAAAACCAAAAACCUGAACAAACACUAUAUUUAAAAUGAAAACUGCAAGACAAAAAAAAAAAAUAUAGAUAUAAAAUUCAUCCGUGCACAAUCCUUAAAUGCAUUUUUUUAAAAAUUAAAAAAAAAAAAUUACAAGAUACAUAUUUAGGUUUAUUUUAAAUUAAAAAAAAAAAAAUUUACCACCUUCACUCUGUAUGCCAAGUGAGGGGAAAUAAGAGACAAAUGGGUCGCACCAGAACCAUGAGCACUCCAGGAGUUAGGUCUGACCUUCUCUAAGAGAAAGGGUAAGGCUCUGAUGCUGCCAAAACUCAAGCGCAAGCAGAACCUGAAGCACCCAAGUACCACAGAGCUCGGUGGGGUAAAUCGCCUGCUUCAGGUUCAGAAUUUGCAGGAAUCUGCAGGAUUUAAGCCUAAGCUUGGCACUGGGGAAGGUGAAAGGAAGGAACAGAUGAGGCAGGCCCCUAUCCUCCACCACCAGCGGACAACUUUCUAUGCAAAAAGAAAACAAACGGGAACAAAAACAUAAUCCCAAAAUAGAGAGUCCUCUAUUCUUAAGGAGCACACAAGGCUUACCAGCAGGGAGAGGAGAGGAGGGGAGGACAGCACACCAAGUUCAUUAGCUGAGGGGAGGCGCAGGCACGACAACUUUUUUCCUAGAGGAAAAAAGUUAUCUUAAAGAGUAUUAUUUUUUGUGGUUGUUCUGUUUGAGAACUUGACCUAAGAUGAUGUCCCCCUUUGCAGCUAGGGGGCUGGAAGCAGCAGGGUCCCUCCAGGACAGCUAAAGAGCACCUACCUGCUGCUCUGCCCAGAGGGAAACCUUCAGCAGCCCUGGAGAACAGGGUGCAGCCAGGGAGCUGCUCAGGAACAUGCAGCCCUACAAGGCCCCAAAGCCCCACAAAGUGCUUUGAUACACCUAGCCAUGCUCCUGCAGUUUAGCACGAGCUCAAAGUGCUCAGCUGAACAAGAAAGGAAGUCAAGAACCAGGGCCUUGUGGUGGGAAUUAACACUUCAGCUGCUUGUCCCCACGAUGCCCCUUCCCUCCUGCCAGAUAAUGUUUUCUGAGCUGCUGCUGAAGCUGGCAUCACCCUGACUGCAUCCAGCAGCUCUUCCGUCACCUUACUUCUUCCCUACGCUGCAGCACGUUGCUUUCUGUCCAUUUCCCUGCUCUGCUCAGCCUGGGAGCGCAGGGGGCAUCCCCACUCCUCCAUACCCAGCGCAGCCUCUGCGAGCACACUCAGAUGGGUGCCUGGAGGGAGAGGGCUCAAAGCACAGCACUAACCUGAGGCAGGGGAAUUCUCACCCCAAUGACUGUGCUUUCGCACAGUCCUGGAGACAUUUUGUUUCCCACCACAGAGAAGCUGGAAGAGAAAAAAAGAACUGCCAGAGGCAGCCCACCACCAUGGGGAGGGCAAACUGACAACACCUCCCUUCACUCCCAGGAGGAGAAAUUUAAAGGGAGAAAGAAGAACUCAGGGCCCUGUGACAUCCUUACAAGCAAGGCAGGUGCGACACAGGGCACCUCAGAUGCACCACACAGAACACAUGUGAAGCUGCUGGUGCCAACACUGCUGACCCUACACAGACAAGGGCACAAACCCCACCAGCCUGACACAGGGCAGCAACAGAAGGGGAGAGAAGUAGAAGACGGAAGGGCAAAGGUGAGGACGGAGAUAGACUCCAACAUCUCCUCCCAUCUACACCCCCAAAAAGAAGCCAUAGACAUUGCACUCUGGGGAGGGACCUAGAAAAUAGAAGUAAGAAAAGAAAAUAAAGCCACUUUUUUGCUCAACCCCAAAGCAUCAAUGAAGUGAAGAUACUUCCUGGAGUUACCUGGGGAAGGAAGCACAGACAGGGAGAGGGGAAUUUCUGAAGCAAUACUCGGCACUGCUCCGGUUCCAUGCCAAUGCCACAGGAGUCGGGCUGCCAGCACCCUCAGCAGGAUGGUCCCCUUCAAACCCCCAGCCCUUUGCACCAGGGAGACGGAGGCACAGGGCAGUGACACAGCUGGCAGAAAGGCCACGGCAACCCAAGAAGGAACAGAACCCAGGAGGCACCGAAUCCCUGGCCCCAAAUUAACCCUCUACAGCACACCACCUUCAGAGCAGAGAUUGGGGAGGCUGCGCACAGGGUGGUGGGUGAGACGGGGAGGGAAGAGGACAGGGUUUCUUUUAUAUUUCUAUAUUUAUAUAUAAAAAGUAAAUAAGAUCCCAGCUCUUGCACGAUUAUGGGCAAUUGAAAAAUGCAGCAAAAGCAAGCGACAUUGGAGUAAAAAGAUGCACCAGGCAAGGAGGAAUAGGUCUUGGAAAGUGGGGAAGGAGGCGAGGGGGGAAAUAAGCACUUAGCCAGACACGCACUCCAGGUUUGUUACACCUCCCUGGGAAGAAGGGCCUGCUCCUGAGCAGCCCCACUGAUGCCACAACCUGUGGUGUGCAUAAGCGUGGGGGUCUCGGGACACCAUCCUUCAGCACGGCAACCUCUUUCUGCCAGGAGGUCCCUAGAAAAGCGAUCAUCUCCAAACACUGGGAGCUGCAAAAACCUCCUCUACAAAGAGGAGCUGGGAAAGGGAGUGAAAUCCCUAGGAAGACUCAGCUCAGAGACAGCUCCCACCUGGUAAAAAGCAGGAUUGUAAAGGGUUCCUUUUUUUUCUUGUUGUUUUUUCUUUAUAUCAUAAAAUUACCCUGGGAACUUCAGUAAGGGGAGAUGGAGAGAAAUGCUCCCUUUCUCUUUUGAAAACAGAAAUCAAGCAGUGGCUCACCACGCUAUUUCUCUGUUUUCCAUCCCAAAAGGAGCUUGCACCUCAUUAGCUUCACACCUCCCCAGUCCUGCUCUGCUCAACGAGGAGACAAAGAGAACAUUAGACAGGAGGCUGCCGCUCCAAGCUGAAGGCUGUGGGAAGCACUGACAGAGCCCGAUGGGCAGAGAGAGGAAAGGAAGUUCCCAAGAGCAGCCCAGGCUGUGAGAGGCAUCGAGACGUCCAUCACCUGCCACUGCAAAGCCAAGGGCACCAGAGAAGUCCAGACAAGAAAAGCUGUCCUAGCAUCCCUUGCCUGCUAUGUUCUGUUCAGACACCAAUGUCUGGUAGCUUCCCUCUUCCCUGCAGUCAUUCCCAUGCACAGGAUGAACACCCAGCAGAGGUAUCAUGAAUGGGGAAGCUUUGAAUGAAUGUUCAGGCAACUCUUCCCUGCCACUCUGCAGGAAGCCAGAGCAGAAGACAACAGCCCUUACUUGAACACAGUCCCGUCAAGGUGUUCCUCUCCCCAUCCCAAAGCCUCCAGCAUUUGCUGGCCUCAAAAAGAGGGGACACCUCACUCGGAAGCACCUUCAGAGCACACAAGGCAGAUCUCUCGUCUACCUCUGAAGAUCUGGACACUCUGAGUUGGGAUGCUGGACUACACAUAGAUGGGAUUCGGUUCUCUGUCCUGAUGUGGUGAAUCCGAUAUGGAAAAAUGCCACUCCCCACCCGAUGCUGGAAGAAGCUAAGAGACCCUACGGAGGGGAAGCAUAUCUGCUUCCCAGGAGAUAAGCCCAUCAUGGUUAAUCUUGCUUGGAUAUGGGGGAGGGAAAAAGAGAAGAGAGACAGUGAGUUGGCAGGAAAGGUACAUGACAACCCCAAAUCUUAGCAGCUUGCUGUGCAUGCAAAGUAAGUCAACUGUUUCCAUGUUGGUGGCCCGAUCCACGUUCUGGCAGAACGCAACCGGCCAUUUCUGAGGGCCACUCGGCCAGAAAACCACUCGGAGACUCUACCUUAGCUCACAGGAGAGGUAUGGGAGGGAAGGGAACUCACUCCAACACUUGGGAGGCAAGGACGGGAAGGGUUUGUAGACAGGGUUCCUCCAACAUGCAACUUGCCUUUUCAGCUCAGAGAUCGCUGCUUAGUCCCAGAAUGCCUUUCCCUCCAGUUCAAGCAAGCCAAACACCAUCCCAGACACACAUGCUUCGAUACUACAAAAUACUCUUUUCUCUAAGGACCAUCUCUAUUACCACUACAGUUUGUGCAAUCACUGCAUUUAUUAAUCAUUUUUAAACUCUCUCUCGCUCUCUCCCUGUAGAAAUUUUUUUUAAACUUUUCUUUUUUUAUGCAAAACUAAUCAUUUCACUUUUUCCACUCCAUCAUAAAAUCUCCUCUAAAAACACGACAACAAGAGAACAAACAUGGCACAGACACAGAGAAUAUUUCCCUGUUUUUUGUUUUCCUAGGGGUUAUGGGGAAGGGAAGGGGAUACUUUCAAAUAAACUCCUCCCUCAAUCCCAUGCCCUUUUUAAAAGGCAUGGAUGGAUCUUCUUUCCCAUCUCUGUUAAGGAGCAAGGGCAAAAAUUCAGAAGGAGGAGUGCAACCCACGUGAAUACGAAGGUAGGUUAGUCAGCCUCAAGUGGCUCAUCCACCUGAGGGAACUCGAGGCUGCUGUGUGUUCAAGUUAGCAAGCUUCUAACUCAAACCAGCACGGGAUCCUCAUUUUGGAUCCAGAGGUUCAGGGUUUGGUCCCCACCUGGUGACUCACCCAGGGAGAUAUUUGUCACACAAGCAGUUGAGCUGUGUCUGCAAGCCGGAUCAUACUCCUUUCUUCCUCCACAAAGAGGAUCUACUGCACAGGUUCCUCUGCUACAACAAGUCCCCUCAUCUCCUCACCACAGGAAGAAGGUCCUCACGGAGUAUCCC